UGAUUGUGAUGGAAUUUGAAGGAAUUGAGUUGAAAAAUGUUUUACAUGAAGGACAGUUUGAGAAAACAGUAGAAGGGUAAAAAAAAUCAAUUGAGUUUGAAAACCGUUAAUAUGGUUUUGAAAGUAACAGUCACACAAAAAAGGCAAAGGUAAAGGAUCGGACAGCAAGACAAUUAGUUACCGAUGUAUAACACAUUAGGGAAGGGUUCAUGCUUCAAACUAGGAAUCCAGUUCUUAUAGUACCAGACACCAAACCAGAUCAUCCUCAAAAAGAGGUUUUAGGGCUAUGGAGUAGCCAAGAGGAUGCUAGUAGUAUACAGAAGCAAGGGGGGACAUGCAUUGGGGUAGGAAAGGGGGUAACGAACAUGCCAGGUCAAGCUAGGCCUACUAAUUAGCACAUAUACAUACUAG
RNAcentral lists this long non-coding RNA (411 nucleotides) under Nicotiana benthamiana. Its description in RNAcentral is "long non-coding RNA (NBEN_LNC004249)". The record is from RNAcentral. Lineage: Eukaryota; Viridiplantae; Streptophyta; Magnoliopsida; Solanales; Solanaceae.